RNAcentral lists this ribosomal RNA (253 nucleotides) under uncultured bacterium. RNAcentral describes it as "partial 16S ribosomal RNA". It matches the Rfam family "Bacterial small subunit ribosomal RNA", at positions 524 to 776 of the family's 1533-position model. The record is from RNAcentral.
UACGUAGGGUGCGAGCGUUAAUCGGAAUUACUGGGCGUAAAGCGUACGCAGGCGGUUUGUUAAGUCUGAUGUGAAAGCCCCGGGCUCAACCUGGGAACUGCAUUGGAAACUGGCAAGCUCGAGUAUGGCAGAGGGGGGUGGAAUUCCGCGUGUAGCAGUGAAAUGCGUAGAGAUGCGGAGGAACACCGAUGGCGAAGGCAGCCCCCUGGGCCAAUACUGACGCUCAGGCACGAAAGCGUGGGGAGCAAACAGG